RNAcentral lists this ribosomal RNA (279 nucleotides) under uncultured bacterium. RNAcentral's name for it is "partial 16S ribosomal RNA". It matches the Rfam family "Bacterial small subunit ribosomal RNA", at positions 506 to 784 of the family's 1533-position model. The record is from RNAcentral.
UGCCAGCCGCCGCGGUAACACGGAGGGUGCAAGCGUUGUCCGGAUUUAUUGGGUUUAAAGGGUGCGUAGGCGGGCAAUUAAGUCAGUGGUGAAAUACUCCGGCUCAACCGGAGAGGUGCCAUUGAAACUGGUUGUCUUGAGUACAGACGAGGUAGGCGGAAUUUAUGGUGUAGCGGUGAAAUGCAUAGAUACCAUAAAGAACACCAAUAGCGAAGGCAGCUUACUGGAUCAUUACUGACGCUGAGGAACGAAAGCAUGGGUAGCGAAGAGGAUUAGAUA